Molecule: unclassified non-coding RNA, 301 nt
Filed under: Glomeraceae sp.
Lineage: Eukaryota; Fungi; Glomeromycota; Glomeromycetes; Glomerales; Glomeraceae
Description: partial internal transcribed spacer 2
Rfam family: 5.8S ribosomal RNA (bases 1-65)
Source: RNAcentral
GUGAAUCAUCGAAUUUUUGAACGCAAAUUGCACUCUCUGCUGAUAGUAUGCCUGUUCGUGUGUCAGUAUAAAUAAAAAUCGAGGUGUUGCUUAUGGUUACGCCAUCGGAAUUGGGUUAUCUUUAAUCUUAAUAAAGGUUUAAAGUCACCUAAAUUUGACGAUACCUUGUUCAUCUCAAAACGGACAUAAGAAUUUUUUUUUUUUCCGUCCGGAGUUUUCCAAAUCUUUAUUAGGUAUGACCAUGAUCGUUUGUUGCAUUUGUGCCUAUAAUUUUAACUCAUAUUUUGACCUCAAAUCAUGU